AGUGAACGCUGGCGGUAGGCCUAACACAUGCAAGUCGAACGGCAGCACAGUAAGAGCUUGCUCUUACGGGUGGCGAGUGGCGGACGGGUGAGGAAUACAUCGGAAUCUACUUUUUCGUGGGGGAUAACGUAGGGAAACUUACGCUAAUACCGCAUACGACCUACGGGUGAAAGUAGGGGAUCUUCGGACCUUGCGCGAUUGAAUGAGCCGAUGUCGGAUUAGCUAGUUGGCGGGGUAAAGGCCCACCAAGGCGACGAUCCGUAGCUGGUCUGAGAGGAUGAUCAGCCACACUGGAACUGAGACACGGUCCAGACUCCUACGGGAGGCAGCAGUGGGGAAUAAUGGACAAUGGGCGCAAGCCUGAUCCAGCCAUACCGCGUGGGUGAAGAAGGCCUUCGGGUUGUAAAGCCCUUUUGUUGGGAAAGAAAAGCAGCAGGUUAAUACCCCGCUGUUCUGACGGUACCCAAAGAAUAAGCACCGGCUAACUUCGUG
This 492-nucleotide ribosomal RNA is filed under the name uncultured bacterium. RNAcentral describes it as "partial 16S ribosomal RNA". It matches the Rfam family "Bacterial small subunit ribosomal RNA", at positions 29 to 507 of the family's 1533-position model. The record is from RNAcentral.